Molecule: non-coding RNA, 21 nt
Filed under: Caenorhabditis elegans
Lineage: Eukaryota; Metazoa; Nematoda; Chromadorea; Rhabditida; Rhabditidae
Source: RNAcentral
UCGUUUUCCAUAAUUACAGUC